RNAcentral lists this ribosomal RNA (253 nucleotides) under uncultured bacterium. Its description in RNAcentral is "partial 16S ribosomal RNA". It matches the Rfam family "Bacterial small subunit ribosomal RNA", at positions 524 to 776 of the family's 1533-position model. The record is from RNAcentral.
UACAGAGGUCUCAAGCGUUGUUCGGAUUCAUUGGGCGUAAAGGGUGUGUAGGUGGCGUCGUAAGUCGGGUGUGAAAUUUCGGAGCUUAACUCCGAAACUGCAUUCGAUACUGCGGUGCUUGAGGACUGGAGAGGAGACUGGAAUUCAUGGUGUAGCAGUGGAAUGCGUAGAGAUCAUGAGGAAGACCAGUGGCGAAGGCGGGUCUCUGGACAGUUCCUGACACUGAGACACGAAGGCCAGGGGAGCAAACGGG